CACAUGUGACGAGUUUUGAUCCUGGCUCAGGAUGAACGCUAGCGGCAGGCCUAAUACAUGCAAGUCAAGGGGAUAGCAAUAUCACCGGCGGACGGGUGCGUAACGCGUACACAACGUGCCCAAGGGCGGAGGAAAGCGGCGGGAAACUGCCGGUAAUACUCCAUGGUGUUGUUGAGUGGCAUCACUUAACAACUAAAGUACAAGCGCCCUUGGAUCGGUGUGCGUUCGAUUAGCUAGUUGGCGGGGUAACGGCCCACCAAGGCUUCGAUCGAUAGGGGGUGUGAGAGCAUGACCCCCCCACACGGGUACUGAGACACGGACCCGACUCCUACGGGAGGCAGCAGUAAGGAAUAUUGGACAAUGGGCGGAAGCCUGAUCCAGCCAUGCCGCGUGAAGGACGAAGGCGCUCAGCGUUGUAAACUUCUUUUGGAUGGGAACAAUAACUCCGACUUGUCGGAACUUGAGGGUACCAUCAGAAUAAGCACCGGCUAACUCCGUG
Molecule: ribosomal RNA, 499 nt
Filed under: uncultured bacterium
Lineage: Bacteria
Description: bacterial SSU rRNA
Rfam family: Bacterial small subunit ribosomal RNA
Source: RNAcentral